RNAcentral lists this ribosomal RNA (433 nucleotides) under uncultured bacterium. RNAcentral's name for it is "partial 16S ribosomal RNA". It matches the Rfam family "Bacterial small subunit ribosomal RNA", at positions 29 to 507 of the family's 1533-position model. The record is from RNAcentral.
AACGAACGCUGGCGGCAUGCCUAACACAUGCAAGUCGAACGAGACCUUCGGGUCUAGUGGCGCACGGGUGCGUAACGCGUGGGAACCUGCCCUUAGGUUCGGAAUAACUCCCCGAAAGGGGUGCUAAUACCGGAUAAUGUCUUCGGACCAAAGAUUUAUCGCCUUUGGAUGGGCCCGUGUUGGAUUAGCUAGUUGGUAGGGUAAAAGCCUACCAAGGCGACGAUCCAUAGCUGGUCUGAGAGGAUGAUCAGCCACACUGGGACUGAGACACGGCCCAGACUCCUACGGGAGGCAGCAGUGGGGAAUAUUGGACAAUGGGCGAAAGCCUGAUCCAGCAAUGCCGCGUGAGUGAUGAAGGCCUUAGGGUUGUAAAGCUCUUUUACCCGGGAUGAUAAUGACGGUACCGGGAGAAUAAGCUCCGGCUAACUCCGUG